UCUGGUGUAGCUUAAAGGCAUAGCCUUCGGCUGUUAACCGAAAAGGUGCGGGUUCGAUUCCCUGCCACCAGAGCCA
This 76-nucleotide transfer RNA is filed under the name Chlamydiota bacterium. RNAcentral describes it as "Chlamydiae bacterium tRNA-Asn". It matches the Rfam family "tRNA". From Rfam's summary of the family: Transfer RNA (tRNA) molecules are approximately 80 nucleotides in length. Their secondary structure includes four short double-helical elements and three loops (D, anti-codon, and T loops). Further hydrogen bonds mediate the characteristic L-shaped molecular structure. tRNAs have two regions of fundamental functional importance: the anti-codon, which is responsible for specific mRNA codon recognition, and the 3' end, to which the tRNAs corresponding amino acid is attached (by aminoacyl-tRNA synthetases). tRNAs cope with the degeneracy of the genetic code in two manners: having more than one tRNA (with a specific anti-codon) for a particular amino acid; and 'wobble' base-pairing, i.e. permitting non-standard base-pairing at the 3rd anti-codon position. The record is from RNAcentral. Lineage: Bacteria; Pseudomonadati; Chlamydiota.